This 367-nucleotide ribosomal RNA is filed under the name uncultured organism. RNAcentral describes it as "bacterial SSU rRNA". It matches the Rfam family "Bacterial small subunit ribosomal RNA", at positions 526 to 896 of the family's 1533-position model. The record is from RNAcentral.
CGAAGGAUGCAAGCGUUAUCCGGAUUCAUUGGGUUUAAAGGAGCGUAGGUGGCCUUGUAAGUCAGUGGUGAAAUCUCUCGGCUUAACUGAGAAAUUGCCAUUGAUACUGCAGGGCUUGAGUACAGAUGCCGUUGGCGGAAUAUGACAUGUAGUGGUGAAAUACAUAGAGAUGUCAUAGAACACCGAUUGCGAAGGCAGCUGACGAAACUGUAACUGACACUGAGGCUCGAAAGUGUGGGGAUCAAACAGGAUUAGAUACCCUGGUAGUCCACACUGUAAACGAUGAUUACUCGCUGCUGGAGGGCAACUUUCAGUGGCUAAGCAAAAGCGAUAAGUAAUCCACCUGGGGAGUACGCCGGCAACGGUG